RNAcentral lists this unclassified non-coding RNA (21 nucleotides) under Chlamydomonas reinhardtii. RNAcentral's name for it is "small RNA Cre_3862". The record is from RNAcentral. Lineage: Eukaryota; Viridiplantae; Chlorophyta; Chlorophyceae; Chlamydomonadales; Chlamydomonadaceae.
UUCUUUCACAUCUUCAUGUGU